Molecule: long non-coding RNA, 12889 nt
Organism: Homo sapiens (human)
Lineage: Eukaryota; Metazoa; Chordata; Mammalia; Primates; Hominidae
Exons: 2
Source: RefSeq, a predicted model, not a curated record
AGUUGACUGGCUGACCUCGCGCCGUCCACCACCCCCUUCCCUCUGUUUCUCUGUUUUUUCUUUCUCUUUCUGCGGGUUUCCUGAAUUUGCAGGUUUGUCCUAGCUUUGUCUUGCUCGAGAUUUACGAAAGAGCAAAUCCACGGAAUGAGCUGAGACGGAAUGAAUGUUUAAUGCAGAAGAUAGGUCAGGUGGAGAACGCUUCUUCAGUGGGCGGUUUGUGUGGUUCCGUGGGGGAUUAGUGGGGGUUGUUCACGGAGGUAAAAAGAGAAGUGGGGGCGGGGGGCAAUUGUAACUAGGUAGAUGUAACCCUGAGUGAAUUGACAGGGUCAAAGUGCCAUUACCUUUGUGGGAAGUAUCCCAAGACACAGAGAUGGACACCUUGGCCAUUGUUGGGAGAAGAACCAGAGUCGUAGAGGUAUUGACGAUUCUAAUGUAAAGAAGCUGUCGCAUGUUAUCAGGUCACAUAUGAGGACUUAUGACAAAUGUGCAUAGUACUUUUCAUUUUGAGCUAAUUCGAUAUUUUUAGUUGUAGGGCAAGAUGUACAUAAAAGAUAACCUGAAACUUCAAUUCUGGUUUUGCUUUUAGGCUACGUUUAUUAAUGUGCCCUACCUUUGCUGGGUUUUUGUUUUGUCUUGUUUUGUUUUGUUUUUUUUUUUUACAAAAAGAGCCAGUGACCACACUCAGGGAGUAAGUUGUGCACUGUCUACCAAACAUUUUACUGAUAUUAACUUUGCUGAAUGUGUAAGACAUGACAGGAAAACUUGGGGAAACAUUUCUUUGUCGAAAGCACAGUAUCUUUAUCUGCAGGGGCGAAGACGGUUGACAGUACACUGUAUUAAUAUAUACUCUAUAGGUGUCCAGUAUUAAGCAUCUCUCAUCUUUUCUUGCAUAUCUGAGAAUUUUUUUUUUUCUAAAUCUAUUUGAAAGGGCAGGAACUAGUACCAAGUUCUCUUGAUUCCUUCUGUUCUGUUUAUACACACACACACACACACACACACACACAUUUUAAUAAAUAUACUUUGUGAUUUAAUGGGACUUUGAGAGUAAUUUUAUUUUUAACUACUGAAAUAGGGAUGGGGUUCCAGUUUAAUUUGCAGUGUUAUCUCUAAAAGCAAGAUUGAUGUAUUUUGUAAUUCUACAGUGCUUACUUCAGUGUUGAUGACAGUAAUAAGAAUAGUAUCUAUAGAAUAACUAGUUUUAAAGUUUUUUACUAAAAAUUCAUUCUCAAUUUAAUAACUAGAGAGUUACAGUAUUUUUUUUCAGCAUGUAUUUUAGUUUGUUUUAUCACCUUAAUCUCCCUAAUAGUCCUGCAAAUGUAGUACUUGUUCUAACCAUACUGGGAUCCCACAUUAUAUUAGGAUAUGGGCAAAGCGGUGUCAUGCAAGGAACAUGGGCAUUGGCUGGGGUCAGGCAGAGCUGGUUUUAAAUUCCAGCUCAGCUACUAACCAGCUCAGUUUCUUGGAAAAUUUCCGUAAUCUCUCUGAGCUUCAGUUUCCUGCAAAAUAGGUAGAAUCAUUCAUAUCUUCUAAGGUGUGAGAAUUAGAAGCAAUAUAAAUAAGAUGUCUGGCACUAGGGAUCUGUCUCCUGAUCCUUAAUCAGGAGAAGAGAAAUAGAGAGGUUGAGAUUUGACAGUAAACUAGUUGAGAGUAUUGUAAAAAAUGAGACAGAAACUCAGGUGUCUUGAUUCCCAGCUUUAAGCUUUCACCCUACACUAAGAUCCUUUUACUGCAAUGUUAGUAAAGUAGAAGAAAAUAAUUUAACAUCAGAAAUUUGAAUGAUUUUAUUUAAACUUCUUAAGAUAAUAAGAUGAAAAUAGCAAUAAUUUGGAAUUGUAUAUAAAUUAGUAUUUUCAGAACUCAGCUUCCAUUAGUAUUUACUAUAGUAUAAAAAUAAAUAUUUAACUUUUCUUAAAAUCUUUGGGUUUUGGAGUAAAAUAAGGUUCUUCACGCUAAGUAGUAGACGAAAUAGAAAUUUUUCAAAUGGCUCUCAUGUGUAAUUCUGAUUUCAAGUUGCCUGAAGAAUCUGCUGCAGCUUAGCCUGGUUAAAAGGGCACUGAAGAGUCAGGGAAUUAAGGUUGAAAUCCCAGCUCUGUCACUCUGUACUUUGUGAUCUUAGGUAUAAUUUUGAGUCCAAUUUCUUUACUUGAAGAGCCAAAAGAUUCAGAUUAGACUGCGUCUAAGAGGUUGUUCAACUCUAAAAUUCUAUGAUUUCCAAUUCAAAUGUGAUUUUAAAAAAGCAGGAUGUGUUUAAAUUGUAUUGCCUUUGAAACAGGAGGAAAUGAAAAUUAAGAAUAAUUGGGAAUUUUUUACUGACACUGACAUACAGUUGUGCAGACAGAAUCCACAUAUAUAUUUUUAAAGUUUGGAUGCUAAAUGUAUAGAGAAAUGCUUCUGAAUUGUGUCUGGAAAUUCCCCAAACACACAUACUUGUUUCCUGCUUGUUCUCUACCCUUUGUUACCCACUAGUUGUAAAUGGGUAAUGAGAAGUUCUUACCAACAUUCACUUUCAUACUGUAAGUUACUCACACUUUAUUUUUUAUUUAAAAAACCUUCAUUGCUAUUUUAGUUCAGAUUACUAGGGCAAAGGAGGCUUGUCAAAUCCAAAUGCUUUUUUAAUAUAGCUUAAAGUGCCAAAAUCAAAAAUCCAAACUUUUUCAAGUAUAAAAUCACUGGAUUUUUCUCAUUCCCGCAGAAAUGUUACAUUAAAAAUUACUACUUUUGAAAAGUGUCUUGGACACCCCUGGAAAAAAAAGAUAUUUUCACAUUUUAAUGCUUACAUUUGGUAGCAGAUUUCCUCUACUUUUUAGGUUUAUGUAUCUUGUUUAGUUGGUUUUUAGAUUUUCAAUAAUCUAAAUAAAAUGAGGCUAAUAGAAAAUCAUAAUUGCUUUAUCAUUCACGAGAAAAUAUUUUAAAUAUUUAAUAUCUUCAUUUAUUAUCAGGAGCAGGGAAUGAAGAUUUCCUUUAAUUUGGCAAUUGUGAGUCAGGCACAUCUUUCAAAGGGCACUGAUUUUCUAGUCUAGGACCCUUGUUGGUGAGACUGAGAUACAGAGGUUACUUGAAAAAUAUAGUGAGGUUAUUCUUAACUUUUGUAAAAGUAUCAGUGUGAAGUUACAUAGUUUUAAAUUUAUGGUUUAAGUCAGAUUAGGUUGUUAUUCAGACUAAGUUUAAAAACUAAACAUUUACUUCAAGUUAGUGUUGCCAAAAACAUUUAAGGUACAUUUUCAUGAGAUCUUAGUGAAUUAGCUCCCCAUUCCCCACGUUUGAUAAACUCUCAACUUUCUUCUUCACCUUAUUUUAUUUACUGCCCUCGAUUAUUUAAUCCUGAUUAUUUUCUGUUGUCCUAGUUUCUGAUAAAAAUUUUUAUGUAUGUUUUUACUCCUAAAUUGAAUUAUUAGAUUAUAAGAUUUUUAAGGAGAUUAAAUUUCUCAUCUGUAUUUAGCAAUCUUUGUUAUACUUAGGCUUUAGCUAAGAGUCAGGGAAGAAUAAGUUGCUUUGUAUAAAUUAUCGUUAAAGAUUAGGCACUUUUAUGUUAAAAAGUUUAAGGUUUUAAUAUUCAAGUUGAUUUUAGUUACUUAGAAGCUGACUUUUGGAAAUUAAGGUUUGUGGUGUUUUAACUUGUUUCUCAAGUAAUGUUAGUACUUAGAGCAAGGAAUGCGAAAGUAAAUAUGGCCAGCUGGAAUGUUUUGCGUGGCCCAGGAACAUUUAACAGAUGAACAUUUGUAAUCGAUUUGAUGAUAGGAGAGCACUAACUUUGAAUCCCAAUUAUGAGAAAUGUCUCCUCCAAAAUUUCCAUUCUUCUCAUUAGUAUUAGUAGACCUAUAUUACCAAAAAAUUGUACAUAUUAUUGUUGCAUUUUGAAUUUUAUCAAUAAAAAUUGUUGCAAAUUUGUUUUCUCUCUUGUUACAUAAGAACCUACAUACCUAAUAUCUUGGACCAUGCUUCUGGGUCCACAAAGCCUGAAGUAUUUACUUUCUGGCCUCUUACAGAAAAAAAUUGCCUGCCCAUGACUUAGAGUUUUAAUGAAUCAUACCAGCAAAGUUAGCAUUUGCUACACAAAUAGCUGUGUUUAAUUUACAUGUUCUAGUCCUCAAUAAUUGUUCAAGAUAGGUGUAAUGAUCCCUGGCAAUUGCUUAGGUUCUGUCUUUGUACAGAUUUAGUAGAUAUAAAAUUUACCAUUAAUAUUGGCUUAGGAACAUCAUUCUUCAUUUCUUUGUCACAGACAAUCAGGCAGCCUAAAGAAAGUUGCUUUUGAAAGUUUUACUUACCUUUUGUCUUCAUUAAGGUCUCUCGAAAAGACUUCAGAUAAAUCAUUUAGUGUGGAAUAAUCAGUUCAAGGGGGAGUACUUAAAAUAUGAUUUUUAACUUAAUUUGAUUAAUACUUAAAAUGAUUUACCUUAUUACUCAGCAUUUUGUUGAAUGACCUGUUUAGGUCUUAUGUUGAUUUCCUUUUUGACAAAUUUACAUUCAAAAUGGAAGUUUUCCAGUCGUUUUCCUAUAUAGUGUAAAAAAUGCGCAUCUUUCAAAUUCCUCCUUUCCCACUGCAUUAAAUUCUGAGUCUGUUUCUUAGAAAUAUAAUGUAUUUUUAGAAUUACCAAGAAGAAAUGCCAGUUUGACUUAGGUGAACAAUUACAGUGGUAGCAAAACAAAGCUGAGAAUGUGAUAUCUCCUAUCUGCUCAUCUACAUCUGUUCUAUUUUGCCUCUGGUUCUUUGUCUUGGAUUUUAGCUAAUGGGCAAGUCUCCAGACUAUCAUUGUAGUUUGCACUGUGCCUUGUAUGCUCUUGACGUUAGUAAGCAUUAAUUUUUCAAAAUGAGAGAACUGUAGCUUGUCUUCCACUUGGUAGCCUCUUUUGUUUCUAAAGAUAGGAACUAUGUGCUUUAGUGUGAACUUUAUUUUUUGAAUAAAGUUGUUACAACCCAUGGUAACAACUUUAUUCAAAAAAUAAAGGAUUGUUAGGCCCAUAAGGUUUUAUUAAGGUCUGGACAUUAUGUCUGGCUACCCUUGAAUUUUAGCUGAUAAAGGGUGUUGUGGUUUUAUUUGAUGGUGAAAACUCAUAAGCUGAGUUAAAUUUAUAAAGGAUUUUAAUCAACAUUGGACAUUGUCUUCAUACAUUUUCUUCAAAGUGCAUCUCUGGGAAUAGUGGGAGAUAGGGAAAGUUUGGGCACAGGACUUCCCUCCCUGCCCACCCCCCCACACACCUUUUUGGAGCAGAGGACCUUCUUAAGGAGCUUGGCAUCUUUUGGGGAAGAUGAGACACAAUAACAAGAAAACUAAGCAUUGCUAGGUGAGUGGCACAGGCAAGAAUAUCCUUUGGUAGUUCAAAGGAGGAUGCAAUCACAUCUAUUUCUAAUGACCAUGGAACACUGUGUAGGAAGUGGGCUUUGAGCUGGUACUUGAUAAAUAGCACUUCUUUAGGGGAGGUUUGGAUGCAUUCCAAGAAAGGUGAUUAAUAUGAACAACGAUCUAGUGGCAGGAAAUCAAAAAGUGUAUAGAUAAAAUAGGAGUAAGAGCAAAUUAGCUGGUGCUAGAUUGUGGAUAGUCUUGAGUAUUUGAUAAUGAAUAUAUUAAACGAGGGAAGUGACAUGAUUGCUACACUAUCAGUUAGGAGUGGGUUGAGCAAUGAGUAAUUAUGAUUUUCAGUCUCAUGUAAAAUGGCUUAGGAACAUAGUGUGAAGCUGUCAUGGAGGUUCUGUUUUACUGAGUCUUCACUUGAUCUAAUCAUUUACUGCCCAGCCAUUCUUAGGAACUGGCUCUCAUGCUUACAGUUCGGCAUGGAAGCUAGGGUUCUAACUGCCUUUUCACGGUAGCAAUGUGGAAGAAGGGAUGAACAAAGAGAUAAAGGCCUUUUAAAGAAGGUUCUUGAAAACUGUCAUGUACCACCUCCACUUAGUAACAAGGCCACACAAGCUACAAGGGAGGCUGGAAAAUGUUUUCAUUCUGAUAACAAGGUUCUCAGUAAGUGAGAGUUUUGUAUUGUGAAAAAAAGAUAGAAUAGAAAUUGAGGCGAGGGGUUGCUAUUAGCAGUCUCUGCAACACAGGGUUAGAGGAAGAUUUAUCUGGUGGUGAAAUGGUAUGUCAUCAGGAUGAGAGCUAGAUCUCAUAUAGACGUGAGAGUAGUAGUUUAGACGCUGGAAUUAAUGUUUGCAUUUUUAUAUUGAUUAUAAUAAUAUUGAAUCCAACUUGAUUUCAUAGUGAAACUCAUUAAUGUUUUUUCAUGUGAAAAGUGAGUUAGGUAUGUGGCUUUGCUGAUACUUAAAAAAAAAGUUAUAGGAGUAUUGAAUAUCACCAUCUUCCUCUUGUUUUCUUCAACCUCUUUUUUCCAUCUCUGUUCAGCAUAUAAAUGUGUUUUGGUUUCUCCUUAAAAAACAAAAAUAUCCUUUUAUUUUUAUUUUAUUUUUCUUUUUUAGAAACAAGGUCUUGCUCUGUUGCCUGGGCUUCAUUGCAGUGGUACAGUCGUAGCGCACUGCAAACUCAAAACUCCUAGGCUCAAGCAACCCUUCCACCUCAGCCUCUUGAGUAACUAGGACUAUAGGUGCAUGCCACCAGGACUGGCCAAUUUUUAAAUUUUUGCUAGAGAUGGGGGUCUCGCUUGGUUGCCCAGGCUGCUCUUGACCUCCUGGCCUCAAGCAGUCCUCUUGCCAUGUCCUCCCAGAGUGUUGGGAUUACAAGCAUUGUUAGCCACCGCACCUGGCCUUUUUUUAAAAAAAAUAGAGAUGGGGCCUUGCCGUUGCCCAGGCUAGAGUGCAGUGGCAAUGUUCAUAGCUCACUGUAGCCUCAAACUCCUGGGCUCAAGUGAUCUUCUUGCCUCGGCCUCCCGAGUAGCUGGGAUUACAGGCGCAAGCCACUGUGUCUGGCUUAAUUGUAUUUCAUAAUAAAACUAUUAAUAAUGACUAACAUUUUUUGAGAGUAUACUCUGCUAAGAGUUUUACAUACAUCAUGUUAGUUGAUACAGUGACACUUAACAAGGGUAACAUUAUUCUCUCCAUUUUUUUUUUUUUUUUUUUUUUGGAUGAGGACAUUGAAUCUGAGAUUAAGUCUUCUGCUUAGUCACAAAGGUGGGAUUCAUACUUUAGCCAUCUGACCUCUUGUUUAGUUUCCUGUAGUUUCCUGUAUUCUCUUUCCACACAAUCUGUUUAAAAAGAAGGGUCCGUGCUUAUUGCCAAUGUCCAUUCCCAUCUCCCUUUAACUCCUUAAUUUGCUGCAUUUGAAGUAUGUUAAAUGGUAAAAAAUCCUAUGAAGAAGAAUGAAGGAAGGGUUGAUGGUUUAUAAUUUUAAAUAGGGUAGCCAGGGGAAGCCUCAGUAAAAUGGCAUUUGAAUAAAGAACCAAAAGAGGGAAGAGAGUGAACCAUAUUGAUAUGUGAGGGAAGAAUGUUCCAGGCAGAAGAAAUAGUAAGAGCAUAGGUCCUGAGGAAUGUGCUUAGUUAGGUGUUUGAGGAACAACAAAGAGGCCAAUAUGGCUGAAGUAGAGGGGGAAGAAUGGUAGAAGAUGAGGGUAUUGGGAAGUAUUAGGAGGAAUAUCACAUGAAGCACUAUAAGAACUUUGGCUUCUCCGCUCAGUUUAGUGAGAAGCUAUUGAAAAGUUUUGCACAGAUAGGUGUUAUUAUUUCACUUAUGUUUAAAAAGAAUCACUCUGGCCUUGACAUGGAGAAUAUUGCCUGGUAAAUAAGAGUAAAGCAGGGUAUUUCUGACAGGAAAAAGCCAAAGCAUAUUUCCUAGUCUCGCACACCACUCAACACUUCUGACACCACAUGUGUGGAAAUUUUUCCCUACACACCAUCCAGUUCUGACACCAGAUUCUCCAGCACACAGCAAUUGGGUGUCCUAUAAUUUCGUUAAAUUCUGGCACUAUCUACUAGGAGAUAGUAUCAGAUCCCACAGGGUAGGGGCUCAGUCCCACAAGACUGCCUCUCACUUUAGAUGCCAAUUGUAAGUCCCAGGCUGCGACCUGUACUUCUGGCCAAAUUGCUAUAAACUGGUGUUUCCAUGACGCCCUCCUUGAGUUUGCUUUAUUUGCUAGAGCGGCUCAUAGAACUCAGGUAAACACUUUAUUUACGUUUACCCGUUUAUUAUAAAGGAUAUUACACAGGAUACAGAUGAAAAACCAGAUGGAAGAGAUGUAAAAGGAGAUGUUUGGAGAAGGGGUUCAGAGCUUCCAUGUGCUCACUGGGGUGCCACACUUCAGGCACUUCCAUGUGUUCAGCUAUCUGGAAGCUCUCUGAACCCUGUCUUUUUGAGUUUUCAUGAAGGCUUCAUUAUGUACACAUGAUUGACUCAAUAAUUGACCGUUGGUGAUCAGCUCAGUCUUCAGUCACUCUGCCUCCUGGGACUCAACCUUCAGUCCCUUUCCCCUUCCCACAGGUCUAUUCAUGCCUUGGUCUUUCUAGUGACCAGCUUCCAUCCUGAAGCUAUUUAGGGGGCACCAACCACCAAUUGUAUCAUUAGCAUAUGAAAGACACUCAUCACUCAGAGACUGUAAGAGUUUUUUUUAGGAGCUCUGUACCAGGAAACUGGGAGCAAAGAUUAAAUAUGUAUUUCUUACUGUAAAUCACAAUAUCACACAGGGAAACCAGUUAAGAGGCUAUUGCAAGUAAUUCAAGCAGGAGAUGAUGGUGGUCACAGUAGAAUGGUUGCAGUGAAAAGCAGUUAGAUAUAGAAUAUAUUUAUGAAAGUAGAGCUAAAAGAAUUUUCUCAUGCAAUUGAUAUAUGGGGUGUAAGAGAAAAGUGAAGAAUCAAAGAUGACUAAGAUAUUUUGAUUUGUAGCUGGAAGGAUGGAGUUGUCAUUUUUCAAGAUGGGGAAGAUUGUAGGAAAAUGAGGUUUUAAGUAUGCUAGUAAGAGGAUGUGGUGGGGGAAGCAGAAUAAAUAGUUCAAUAUUUGACUUGUUAGGAUGAGAUGCCAUUAGACAUCCAAGUUGGGAAUAAUGAGUAGGCAAACAAAUAUAGAGUUCAAGGGGAAGGUUGAGACUAGAGUUACAUAUUUUGAGGGUUAAUCAGCAUAGAUGAUGUAUAAAGGCCUAAUUAGCAUAGAUGGUGUAUAAAGGCCUAAGAUAGGAUGAAAUCAUAAGAGUGAUUUAUAGGUCAAAGAAAAGUAAGAAGAUCCCUGAGUCACUCCAGUGUUUAGAGGCUGGGGAGCUAAGGAGGAACUAGCAAAGGAGACUGAAAAGGAGCAGCCAGUGAGGUAGGACAAAAACAUGGAAACUGGUACCCUGGAAUCAAAGGAAGAGCUUGUAAACAACAUGCCAAAUGUUGUUGCUCAUGGUUCACAGAAGAGCAGGACUGAGAACUGACUUUUUUUUUUUUUUUUUGAGACAGAGUCUCGAUCUGUCACCCAGGCUGGAGUGCAGUGGCACGAUCUUGGCUUACUGCAAGCUCCGCCUCCCAGGUUCAUGCCGUUCUCCUGCCUCAGCCUCCUGAGUAGCUGGGACUACAGGCGCCCGCCACCAGGCCUGGCUAAUUUUUUGUAUUUUUAGUAGAGACGGGGUUUCACCGUGGUCUCGAUCUCCUGACCUCAUGAUCCGCUCGCCUUGGCCUCCCAAAGUGCUGGGAUUACAGGUGUGAGCCACCGCGCCCGGCCUGAGAACUGACUUUUGAUUUAGUGACAUGAAAAGCAGUGGUAAACCUUACAGAGAGUGGCAUCACCAUCCAUAGGGUUUUUCAUGCCAGAAACCCUGGAAAUCAACCUAAGUGUAUUUGCCCUCAUCCCAUCUCUAGGCACUAAGUUCUGUAGAUUCUACCUUCUCUUUCUUUUGUGAAUCUGUCUUUUGUAUUCCUGCUGCCACUUUAUUAGUUUAAGUUCUCAACAUUUUUCACCUGGAUUAUUGUGGUGGCAUUCUGUCUGGCAUUCUCUUUAAUCUCUCUGCACAUUGGUGCCACAGUGAUUCUUUUUGAGAGGCUAGUUUUAAUGUUUCCUUCUUUUAUUUAAAAUUUCUCUUAUGGCUGUUUCUGUCUAGCAUUCAGGAUACUGUUCAAACCCCUUUACAUAGAGUGUAAUUUUCUUCAUGAUAGGCUACUUUCUGCUUUUCUAGCCACAUCUCCUACCACUCCCCUACCUUAUGCUCUAGUCAUGGCAAACUACUAUAGUUUCUGGAAUGUGACAUGCUAAUAGUUUACCUGAAAUGACCUUCCUUUUCUUAUUCUAUCACAUUUUCACAUGCAGUUCCUAUUAACAUGGAAAGUCUUCCUUGAUUCUCCUUUUUCCACCUGGUAUAUAUGCUUCUCUCAGUUUCCAGAAGUACUAGCUUACAGCCUGCCUUAAAAUUAUAUUAUCCUGUAAUUAUUCAUAAAUGUGACUUUCUAUCCCACUUGUCUGUAAAUUCUUUUGUAGCAUGAACAAUGUAUUUUUCCAUUUUGUAUUCUCAUCCUGUAGACAGUGCCUAGCACCUAAUAGGGACUCAGGUUUGAAUGAGUGAAUGAAACUCAGUCAGUACCAUCAAGACAUCUUAACACAGUUUGUUGAGAGUUUUUUGGUCAUCUGAAUGGUAUUAUGGGUCUGAAGGAGUUCUUGAAAUUACCCAAGGAAAAUAUUAUAUACUAUAAAUCAAACUUGUAUAACUGUGAUAUCCAUCCAUAUCUAAAGGCAAAACAAAUUUGCCUAUUGAAGAGUAAUCUAGAGAGUGCUGAAAAUUUAACAAACAGGUUAUUUGGCAAAUGCUGCAGCAAAGAGAGACAAAUAUCAAAACUAUAUCAUGUUCCAAGCCCCCAGUCAGGGAUGUAGUCUCUCUUUGUACUCUCUCCCUGUAGAUAACAUCUACUCGGCAGCUUUCAUGGAGAAAUUUGCUGACUACUAGACUAGCUUGUAUUGCCAUACCACCUAUACUUUUUUUUUUUUUUUAAUAAAAAUAUCCAUUCUAUUUUAAUGUUGUUUUCUGUGUUAGAUACUGAACUCCAGGAGGUCAGGUGCUAGGCUGAAUCCUCAUUGCUGGGACCAUAGAGGCAUUCAUAAAUGUUAGGUGAAUGAAUGAUUACGUCAUGAUGGGCAGUCAGAAAGAAAUGAAAGUCCUAUUUCCUAUCUGUUUAUAUGCAAAUAUUUGAUUAUGUUGUUCUCCUCAAAACUCUUCAGUUCCUUAUUUCCUGCCGGACAUUUUAACACUCGGUUACUUAGCUUGCUGAGGCUUUAUUGUCAGCAGCAGUAACCAGCUCUGGCUAGCUUAGACAGGAAAGAAAGUAUUAAAGGAGGAUUGGGUAACUCUCACACAAAAUGGAUGGGACGUACAGAGAGUCAGGUUUGGAGACAAGUGGGAAGUAAGGGAGUUUUGAAAGUAUAAACAGUCUGAUCCAGAUGCCACAGCUGCUGUUGAAUUUCUCUUGCUAGACUACUACUGUGACUGCUCAUUUAAUCACAUCCACUCUUUGUUUCCCAGGAUUCACUGGUCUAUGUGGGAGUGUCUGAUUGCUGAGUCUAGCUCUUGUACCUUUACACUGGCUACCAUGGGUUUAUGGAGAGGAAGAACCCAUCUCUCCCUUUGGUUUCUGAAGUGGGAGGUGGAGCCCUGCAUCCUUCCAAAACUCACAAUGGACAGUUCCACAAAACUUGGAAACAAUUCCAGCAAUUGCCAGGAAAGGGCGCUCCUUGAAGAUGGAACAAUGGUGAGAGCACACUUGAACAAAGGAAAAGCAACAUAUUUAUCCCUUAUGCAUUUGGAUCAUCCUUACUGUCGUAUCCUGCAUCCAUUGGCUGGAGCUGGACCUCACAGUUUUAAACUGAUACCCGAUUUGCUAAUAACCUAAAACUUUCCUAAAUAGGUAAGUGCAAGGGAGAACAAAGAAGGAGAGGAAGUUGCUUAUGAAAGGUUUAAGGAAGCAAUAACAUUUCCAAAUAAGGAAGGGGCAUAAGCUAUGAGCUAGGACUUGCUUGGGCUUGUCCAGGCAUGCCUGAGUAAGCCGAAGCAACUAACUGGGCUAAAGUGUAAGAACUAAUAGUUGAUAGGAGGCUUUAGAGUAAGAAGUUAUUAUUUCUAGUGUCUAUUGUUUUAUUUUUAAACCAAGAUGAGCUUUGAAGAGGAGCUUUUCUACUUUCUACAUGUGUAUUAAGUACUUACAAUGCCCAGCACUUAGUAUACAUUCAAUAAACAGUAGUCAGUGAAAUACAGUAUAUAGUUUUGGGUCCAGUUUACCUUCUUAGCUGCCUCAUUUCCUUCCAACAUGAAAACUCCAUAAAUACAAAAUGUGUAUGCUAUUGUCCUUAAAUAUACCUUGUGAUUUCCACCUCUGUCUUCUCCAUAUGCCACCUCUUUCUCUCUUUUCCAUCUUUCUUUUAUGGCUCUGUUCAAAUCUUUGCUGCUUCUCAGUAAGAAAGAAGUGUUGGUCCAUCUAUUAUUCCUCUAUGCCAUCUAGUUUGGCACUUAGAAUUUAAGGUAGUUUUCUUGGUAUUUAUAUGUUAUCUUUGAUAAAGUAGUCUGCUAGAGGGCAAAGGGGACUGACUAUUUUGGGGGAAAAAAUGGUUUAGUAGAAGAAACAUGAGGCUUGGAGUCAGAAAUCCUUGGUUCCAGCUUAGCACUAGCUAUUACUACUUGUGUGACCUUGGACAAGUUUCUGAAUGUGUUCUUUUUAUAUAAAAUGGAGAUAAUGCUAUAGAAUUUUGGUGAGGGUCAGAUGAAAUAUGUAUGUGAAGGAACAGGCUGUGUAAACUGUAUAACGUAUGAUUGCUUUUGUGUGUAUCUUGUAUCUAAUGUCAUGCCUUACACAUAGGCUUAAUAUAUUAAUGAUAAUGAUUUUUUUAAAUAGUCCUUUCAGAUUUUCAUGGCAUCAAAAGACAUGUAAUUUUUUAAUACAUUUAAAAAAUCAUAAUCAGAUUGUGAUGAAGAUGUUAUAGCUAUCUUUCAUUUUGUUCAUGUGUAAUUUAAUAUUCAGUGAUUACUCUUGGUUCCAAUAAAAUGUUAUAUUGUUAUAUUUUA